Molecule: unclassified non-coding RNA, 176 nt
Filed under: uncultured fungus
Lineage: Eukaryota; Fungi
Description: sequence contains ITS1
Source: RNAcentral
UUAAAUAUUUAUUUUAACUCAGACAACAUCAUUAUAAAGAUUUUUUGUUGGGCUUCGGUAGGUACUUUAUCCCACCGAAGCAACAUAAAAACGCUUGGUGGUAUACAAGGGGUUGGAGGUUGGGCCAUAAAGACCCUAACUCGGUAAUGAUCCUUCCGCAGGUUCACCUACGGAAA